Balaenoptera acutorostrata (minke whale) is the source of this 502-nucleotide long non-coding RNA. RefSeq lists it as uncharacterized. The record is from RefSeq and is a predicted model, not a curated record. Lineage: Eukaryota; Metazoa; Chordata; Mammalia; Artiodactyla; Balaenopteridae. The transcript has 3 exons.
CCUGGAAAGCGUGGGCCUCUGUCAUUGGGCCCCUGCGGCCACGUGAUGGCGGAUUCAGCUAGGUCGGCCCCCACCGCCGAAGGUUAAUACGGUUCAACCUUACAAGCCCGGGCGACGCUGUGAGGGCUCGUCACUAGGCUUGGUUGACACCAUCAAUCCAUUUUUGUUCCUUUGCUGGUAUCCUGUUUUUCCAUUUGGAAGCUUGUGGAGUUUUCUUUUUUUUUUCAGAGUUCAGAAUUUUCACCAGAAUGUGUGAAGGGGACACGGGUUCGAGCCCUGGUCUGGGAAGAUCCCACAUGCCACGGAGCAGCUGGGCCCGUGAGCCACAAUUGCUGAGCCUGCGCGUCUGGAGCCUGUGCCCCGCGACGGGAGGGGCCGCGAUAGAGAAAGGCCCGCGCACCGCGAUGAAGGGCGGUCCCCGCACCGCGAUGAAGAGUGGCCCCCGCUUGCCGCAACUGGAGAAAGCCCUCGCACGAACCGAAGACCCAACACAGCCAAAAAA